RNAcentral lists this ribosomal RNA (433 nucleotides) under uncultured bacterium. RNAcentral's name for it is "partial 16S ribosomal RNA". It matches the Rfam family "Bacterial small subunit ribosomal RNA", at positions 29 to 507 of the family's 1533-position model. The record is from RNAcentral.
AACGAACGCUGGCGGCAUGCCUAACACAUGCAAGUCGAACGAGACCUUCGGGUCUAGUGGCGCACGGGUGCGUAACGCGUGGGAACCUGCCCUUAGGUUCGGAAUAACUCCCCGAAAGGGGUGCUAAUACCGGAUAAUGUCUUCGGCCCAAACAUUUAUCGCCUUUGGAUGGGCCCGCGUUGGAUUAGCUAGUUGGUAGGGUAAAAGCCUACCAAGGCGACGAUCCAUAGCUGGUCUGAGAGGAUGAUCAGCCACAAUGGGACUGAGACACGGCCCAGACCCCUACGGCAGGCAGCAGUGGGGAAUAUUGGACAAUGGGCGAAAGCCUGAUCCAGCAAUGCCGCGUGAGCGAUGAAGGCCUUAGGGUUGUAAAGCUCUUUUACCCGGGAUGAUAAUGACAGUACCGGGAGAAUAAGCUCCGGCUAACUCCGUG